Molecule: ribosomal RNA, 107 nt
Filed under: Acanthosepion pharaonis
Lineage: Eukaryota; Metazoa; Mollusca; Cephalopoda; Sepiida; Sepiidae
Source: RNAcentral
CAUAUCACAUUGGAACACCAGUUCUUGUAGGAUCACUGAAGUUAAGCAACUCCAAGCUUGGUCAGUACCUAGAGAGGUGACCACUUGGGAAUACUAGGUGCUGUAAG